AUUGAACGCUGGCGGCAGGCCUAACACAUGCAAGUCGAACGGUAACAGGAAGAAGCUUGCUUCUUUGCUGACGAGUGGCGGACGGGUGAGUUAUGUCUGGGAAACUGCCUGAUGGAGGGGGUUAACUACCGGAAACGGUUGCUACUACCGCAUAACGUCGCAAGACCAAAAAGGGGGACAUCCCGGGCUCUUGCCAUCGGCUGUGCCCAGGUGGGAUUAGCUAGUUGGUGGGGUAACGGCUCACCUAGGCGACGAUCCGUAGCUGGUCUGAGAGGAUGAACAGCCACACUGGAACUGAGACACGGUCCAGACUCCUACGGGAGGCAGCAGUGGGGAAUAUUGCACAAUGGGCGCAAGCCUGAUGCAGCCAUGCCGCGUGUAUGAAGAAGGCCUUCGGGUUGUAAAGUACUUUCAGCGGGGAGGAAGGGAGUAAAGUUAAUACCUUGGCGCACUGACGUUACCCGCAGAAGAAGCACCGGCUAACUCCGUG
This 490-nucleotide ribosomal RNA is filed under the name uncultured bacterium. Its description in RNAcentral is "partial 16S ribosomal RNA". It matches the Rfam family "Bacterial small subunit ribosomal RNA", at positions 30 to 507 of the family's 1533-position model. The record is from RNAcentral.